UAGGGGGUUAUAAAGAGUAAAUUGGGGGCUAUGAAUAGACUCACCCGAAAUACAAAUAGCCCAAUCACUUAUAAGAGCCUAGUUAAAUGCAGCUCAAUCUGAAUUUAAUAGAGAAUCUCGGCCCAACAUGAAAAUAAUUCAAGGCCCAAAGGUUCAGCCCAUUUCCCCUCUCUACAAUUCACGGUUCCAAAUCCUUCUCCUUUCAAUUUCUCAAUAUCAGCUCAACUCCCUCCCUUUGCAUCAGAAAUCGCCGCCGCCGCCGUUGAAGGAUCGGCGAGCGGUCGGUUCUAGCCUUCGUCUCCAGCGAAGCAGGCCUGUUGCCGCCUCUGAGGCCGACGCCGUCCCCUUCGUCUCCAGUCUCUCUUACUGAAACUCACCAUGAAAUCCAGCCCUAGCUUCCCUCUGAACUCAGAUGGGAUGCCGCCGCUGCGGCCCUUCUCCGGCGAGACUGGCGUCCCGGCUGUUAGCGCCGCCAGCACACCUUCACCCCUAAAUCAAAAUUGAGCCCUAACUCUCCUUUUGGUUUAGGCGGGUUCGCCACCGCUGUUGCUAAAGGACCGGCUAGGCGGCGGUUCUCUCCUUCUCUCCCUUGUUCUCGAAAAUAGAUUCACGCUCAAGUCCUAGCCUUUUCUCAUCUCUCGGAAUUUAUCGCCGCCCCUGAGCUUUUGACGAGGCUAUAGACGUCAUCCCCUCCUCAGUUCUUUCCGCUUUCGAACUCAAGGGAUGGGUCUUCUGGGUUCCGGCAGAGAAGGGUAGGCCGUCGCAGCUGUCCUGACUCUUCACCUCGCCGUUGCUGCUUUACUCAUAUUCCGGCGAGGCAGCAAGGGCUCGUCGUCGUUCCCUCGGUUCGACUGAACAGGAAGAAACUGGAGAGGAUCAGGUCAAUCUUACCUCUCGAAUCUUUCAGCGUAAAGAGAGAAGGAUUUGGUGGGUGAUAUUAUAAGGAGUGAAGUUGGUGGCUGUUACUCUCAUGGGUUUGAAAGAUGGGGUAUGGUGGAAUGACCACCUACUUGUACUAUGGUAUGGUCUUGGUUACAGGGGAAGGAAAGAAAAAAAAGAGCUGCUACUUGCUUUUGUACUAUGCAGAUUUUUCUUUUGAUUUUGUGUACAUACAUCAGUAUGGCUUAGCUGCAAAAGUGGCGCUGUAGAGGGAGGAAAGCAUGGCUUUUGGUGGCUACAAAAUCUUCUAUCUUGAUUGUUGUGAGAGUAGGGAUGGUGGUGAUUGUGCGUGUAUAGUGUGAUGUCGUAAUCGUAAAUAAUAAUAAAUCUUUGUGUCUUGGUUACUCA
This is a long non-coding RNA of Salvia miltiorrhiza (redroot sage), 1287 nucleotides long. RefSeq lists it as uncharacterized. Lineage: Eukaryota; Viridiplantae; Streptophyta; Magnoliopsida; Lamiales; Lamiaceae. The transcript has 2 exons. The record is from RefSeq and is a predicted model, not a curated record.